UUCCGGUUGAUCCCGCCGGAGGCUACCGCUAUUGGAGUUCGAUUAAGCCAUGCGAGUCGAGAGUCCUCGGGACUCGGCGUACCGCUCAGUAACACGUGGGUAACCUGCCCUAUGCUGGGGAAUAACCUCGGGAAACUGAGAAUAAUGCCCCAUAGCCCACUACGCCUGGAACGGUGAGUGGGUCAAAGCCCCGGCGGCAUAGGAUGGGCCUGCGCCGUAUCAGGUUGUAGGGGGUGUAAAGUACCCUCUAGCCAUCAACGCGUACGGGUGUUGGGAGACAUUGCCCGGAGAUGGAUUCUGAGACACGAAUCCAGACCCUACGGGGUGCAGCAGGCGCGAAAACUUGGCAAUGCGAGAAAUCGUGACCAGGGAACUCCAAGUGCGUAGGGUAAGACCUACGCUUUUCUUGACUCUUCAAAGGUCUUGGAAUAAGGGGUGGGUAAGGACGGUGCCAGCCGCCGCGGUAAUACCGGCGCCUCAAGUGGUAGUCGCUUUUAUUGGGCCUAAAACGUCCGUAGCCGGUCUGGUGCAUUCGUGGGUAAAUCAACCCGCUCAACGGGUUGAAUUCUGCGAGCACGGCCAGACUUGGGACCGGGAGAGGUGUGGGGUACUCUCAGGGUAGGGGUAAAAUCCUGUCAUCCUGAGAGGACCACCUGUUGCGAAGGCGCCACACUAGAACGGAUCCGACGGUCAGGGACGAAACCUAGGGGCACGAACCGGAUUAGAUACCCGGGUAGUCCUAGGUGUAAACGCUGUGGACUUGAUGUUGGGGACGCUCCGAGCGUUCUCAGUGUCGAAGCGAAGGUGAUAAGUCCACUGCCUGGGGAGUACGGUCGCAAGGCUGAAACUUAAAGGAAUUGGCGGGGGAGCACCGCAACCUGAGGAUUGUGCGGUUUAAUUGGAUUCAACGCCGG
This 914-nucleotide ribosomal RNA is filed under the name uncultured archaeon. RNAcentral's name for it is "bacterial SSU rRNA". It matches the Rfam family "Archaeal small subunit ribosomal RNA", at positions 1 to 921 of the family's 1478-position model. The record is from RNAcentral.